RNAcentral lists this non-coding RNA (28 nucleotides) under Homo sapiens (human). The record is from RNAcentral. Lineage: Eukaryota; Metazoa; Chordata; Mammalia; Primates; Hominidae.
CUGCUCUCAAGAAACUCACUAUCUGGUC